AUUGAACGCUGGCGGCAGGCUUAACACAUGCAAGUCGAACGAGUGGCGGACGGGUGAGUAAUGUCUGGGAAACUGCCUGAUGGAGGGGGAUAACUACUGGAAACGGUAGCUAAUACCGCAUACCAUCAGAUGUGCCCAGAUGGGAUUAGCUCGUAGGUGGGGUAACGGCUCACCUAGGCGACGAUCCCUAGCUGGUCUGAGAGGAUGACCAGCCACCAGGGAACUGAGACACGGUCCAGACUCCUACGGGAGGCAGCAGUGGGGAAUAUUGCACAAUGGGCGAAAGCCUGAUGCAGCCAUGCCGCGUGUAUGAAGAAGGCCUUCGGGUUGUAAAGCACUUUCAGCGAGGAGGCGUUACCCGCAGAAGAAGCACCGGCUAACUCCGUGCCAGCCGCCGCGGUAAUAC
This 406-nucleotide ribosomal RNA is filed under the name uncultured bacterium. Its description in RNAcentral is "partial 16S ribosomal RNA". It matches the Rfam family "Bacterial small subunit ribosomal RNA", at positions 30 to 526 of the family's 1533-position model. The record is from RNAcentral.